This 84-nucleotide transfer RNA is filed under the name Candidatus Omnitrophota bacterium. RNAcentral describes it as "tRNA-Leu". It matches the Rfam family "tRNA". From Rfam's summary of the family: Transfer RNA (tRNA) molecules are approximately 80 nucleotides in length. Their secondary structure includes four short double-helical elements and three loops (D, anti-codon, and T loops). Further hydrogen bonds mediate the characteristic L-shaped molecular structure. tRNAs have two regions of fundamental functional importance: the anti-codon, which is responsible for specific mRNA codon recognition, and the 3' end, to which the tRNAs corresponding amino acid is attached (by aminoacyl-tRNA synthetases). tRNAs cope with the degeneracy of the genetic code in two manners: having more than one tRNA (with a specific anti-codon) for a particular amino acid; and 'wobble' base-pairing, i.e. permitting non-standard base-pairing at the 3rd anti-codon position. The record is from RNAcentral. Lineage: Bacteria; Pseudomonadati; Candidatus Omnitrophota.
GCCGAAGUGGCGGAACUGGUAUACGCGCUGGUCUCAAAAACCAGUGUCUUUACGGGCAUAAGGGUUCGAAUCCCUUCUUCGGCA